CGUGCACGCUGGCGGUAGGCCUAACACAUGCAAGUCGAACGGCAGCACAGUAAGAGCUUGCUCUUACGGGUGGAGAGUGGCGGACGGGUGAGGAAUACAUCGGAAUCUACUUUUUCGUGGGGGAUAACGUAGGGAAACUUACGCUAAUACCGCAUACGACCUACGGGUGAAAGCAGGGGAUCUUCGGACCUUGCGCGAUUGAAUGAGCCGAUGUCGGAUUAGCUAGUUGGCGGGGUAAAGGCCCACCAAGGCGACGAUCCGUAGCUGGUCUGAGAGGAUGAUCAGCCACACUGGAACUGAGACACGGUCCAGACUCCUACGGGAGGCAGCAGUGGGGAAUAUUGGACAAUGGGCGCAAGCCUGAUCCAGCCAUACCGCGUGGGUGAAGAAGGCCUUCGGGUUGUUAAGCCCUUUUGUUGUGAAAGAAAAGCAGCAGGUUAAUACCCCGCUGUUCUGACGGUACCCAAAGAAUAAGCACCGGCUAACUUCGUG
Molecule: ribosomal RNA, 492 nt
Filed under: uncultured bacterium
Lineage: Bacteria
Description: partial 16S ribosomal RNA
Rfam family: Bacterial small subunit ribosomal RNA
Source: RNAcentral